UGCAUCUGAAGCCUGACGAGGAUGAGAACCUCCGGGGGCAAGAGGUUCGACUCGAGCGCAGCGAGAGAACGUUGCGUCAGCAACGGCCCGCAGGGCGAGCCAAGCAGUGGCGAGUCAUCCUCUAUCACCGACCA
Molecule: small RNA, 134 nt
Filed under: Salmonella enterica
Lineage: Bacteria; Pseudomonadati; Pseudomonadota; Gammaproteobacteria; Enterobacterales; Enterobacteriaceae
Description: RtT sRNA
Rfam family: RtT RNA
About the family: This family represents a bacterial cis-regulatory element known as RtT RNA. The exact function of RtT is unknown although it is thought that it may be involved in changing the cellular response in relation to amino acid starvation.
Source: RNAcentral